CCUACGGGGGGCAGCAGUGGGGGAUAUUGCACAAUGGGGGGAACCCUGAUGCAGCGACGCCGCGUGGGUGAAGAAGGGCCUCGGCGCGUAAAGCCCUGUCAGCAGGGAAGAAAAUGACGGUACCUGAAGAAGAAGCCCCGGCUAACGACGUGCCAGCAGCCGCGGUAAGACGUAGGGGGCAAGCGUUAUCCGGAUUUACUGGGUGUACAGGGGGCGCAGCCGGCGAUGCAAGCCAGGAGUGAAAGCCCGGGGCCCCACCCCGGGACUGCUCGUGGAACUGCGUGGCUGGAGUGCAGGCGGGGCAGGCGGACUUCCUGGUGUAGCGGUGAACUGCGUAGAUAUCAGGAGGAACCCCGGUGGCGACGGCGGCCUGCUGUACUGCACCUGCCGUUGCGGCCCGCCAGCGUGGGGAGCAAACAGGAUUAGCUACCCCAGUAGUC
This 440-nucleotide ribosomal RNA is filed under the name uncultured bacterium. RNAcentral's name for it is "partial 16S ribosomal RNA". It matches the Rfam family "Bacterial small subunit ribosomal RNA", at positions 338 to 795 of the family's 1533-position model. The record is from RNAcentral.